This 71-nucleotide transfer RNA is filed under the name Ictidomys tridecemlineatus (thirteen-lined ground squirrel). RNAcentral's name for it is "Spermophilus tridecemlineatus (thirteen-lined ground squirrel) tRNA". It matches the Rfam family "tRNA". Rfam says of the family: Transfer RNA (tRNA) molecules are approximately 80 nucleotides in length. Their secondary structure includes four short double-helical elements and three loops (D, anti-codon, and T loops). The record is from Rfam by way of RNAcentral. Lineage: Eukaryota; Metazoa; Chordata; Mammalia; Rodentia; Sciuridae.
GUGAUUGUGGCUCAGUGGUAGAGCGCUCGCCUAGCAUGUGCAAGGUCCUGGGUUCGAUCCUCAGCAUCACA